Molecule: ribosomal RNA, 484 nt
Filed under: uncultured bacterium
Lineage: Bacteria
Description: partial 16S ribosomal RNA
Rfam family: Bacterial small subunit ribosomal RNA
Source: RNAcentral
AUUGAACGCUGGCGGCAUGCCUUACACAUGCAAGUCGAACGGCAGCGCGGGAGCAAUCCUGGCGGCGAGUGGCGAACGGGUGAGUAAUACAUCGGAACGUGCCCAAUCGUGGGGGAUAACGCAGCGAAAGCUGUGCUAAUACCGCAUACGAUCUACGGAUGAAAGCAGGGGAUCGCAAGACCUUGCGUGAAUGGAGCGGCCGAUGGCAGAUUAGGUAGUUGGUGAGGUAAAGGCUCACCAAGCCUUCGAUCUGUAGCUGGUCUGAGAGGACGACCAGCCACACUGGGACUGAGACACGGCCCAGACUCCUACGGGAGGCAGCAGUGGGGAAUUUUGGACAAUGGGCGAAAGCCUGAUCCAGCCAUGCCGCGUGCAGGAUGAAGGCCUUCGGGUUGUAAACUGCUUUUGUACGGAACGAAACGGUCUUUUCUAAUAAAGAAGGCUAAUGACGGUACCGUAAGAAUAAGCACCGGCUAACUACGUG